Molecule: ribosomal RNA, 372 nt
Filed under: uncultured eukaryote
Lineage: Eukaryota
Description: partial 18S ribosomal RNA
Rfam family: Eukaryotic small subunit ribosomal RNA
Source: RNAcentral
CAAUAGCGUAUAUUAAAGUUGUUGCAGUUAAAAAGCUCGUAGUUGAAUUUUUGCUUGCCGCCGAUGUCGGAACUUCCGUACGUUCGGCGGCGUGCAUCCUUGGGUGGAACCUGUGUGGCAUUAGGUUGUCGUGCAGGGGAUGCUCAUCGUUUACUGUGAAAAAAUUAGAGUGUUCAAAGCAGGCCUACGCCGUUGAAUAUAUUAGCAUGGAAUAAUAAGAUAGGACCUUGGUACUAUUUUGUUGGUUUGCGCACCGAGGUAAUGAUUAACAGGGACAGUUGGGGGUAUUCGUAUUCCAUUGUCAGAGGUGAAAUUCUUGGAUUUCUGGAAGACGAACUACUGCGAAAGCAUUUACCAAGGAUGUUUUCAUUA